UGCCAGCCGCCGCGGUAACACGGGGGGCGCAAGCGUUAUUCGGAAUUAUUGGGCGUAAAGGGCGCGCAGGCGGUCUUGUCCGUCAGGUGUGAAAGCUCGGGGCUCAACCCCGGAAGUGCACUUGAAACUGGAAGUCUGGAGUUCAGGAGAGGUUAGCGGAAUACCGAGUGUAGAGGUGAAAUUCGUAGAUAUUCGGUGGAACACCAGUGGCGAAGGCGGCUUUCUGGACCGAUACUGACGCUGAGACGCGAAAGCGUGGGGAGCAAACAGGAUUAGAUA
Molecule: ribosomal RNA, 279 nt
Filed under: uncultured bacterium
Lineage: Bacteria
Description: partial 16S ribosomal RNA
Rfam family: Bacterial small subunit ribosomal RNA
Source: RNAcentral